Molecule: ribosomal RNA, 537 nt
Filed under: uncultured euryarchaeote
Lineage: Archaea; Methanobacteriati; Methanobacteriota
Description: bacterial SSU rRNA
Rfam family: Archaeal small subunit ribosomal RNA
Source: RNAcentral
CNUUUAAAGGANUUCGGUCCUUGGCAGACGGCUCAGUAACACGUGGAGAACCUGCCCUCAGGAGGGGGAUAACCCCGGGAAACUGGGAAUAAUACCCCAUAGGUCUAGAAUGCUGGAAUGCUUCUAGGCUCAAAGCUCCGGCGCCUGAGGAUGGCUCUGCGGCUUAUCAGGUUGUAGUGAGAGUAACGUCCUCACUAGCCUAUGACGGGUACGGGCCCUGAGAGGGGAUGCCCGGAGAUGGACUCUGAGACACGAGUCCAGGCCCUACGGGGCGCAGCAGGCGCGAAAACUCCGCAAUGCUCGAAAGAGUGACGGGGGGAUUCCAAGUGCCUACGCUUAGCGUAGGCUGUUCAGAUGCCUAAAAAGCAUCUGGAGUAAGGGCUGGGUAAGACGGGUGCCAUCUGUGGCAGCAGCCGAAGAUUUGGUUUGCUACUGCAAGGCAUAAGCCGCCGCGGUAAUACCCGCAGCCCGAGUGGUAGUCGAUUUUAUUGGGCCUAAGCGUCCGUAUCCGGUCUGAUAAUGCUUGGGUAAUCGUCU